CUGCACAGGAGUCUGAGACAUCCUUUGCCAAAGUCCCAGAAUGGAGACUGAAGGGUACCUAGAGACACAAAUAGAAGUCCAGAAUGAAAAUAAGGUCACCAUCAGAUGAGAUGAUGGUGGAGGAGUUAGAAAUUGUGCUAAUAUCUCCCAAGUCCAGGUUCCCCAAAAGCCUUCCAGCAGAGUCUUGAUGAAGACUCUACCAAAGACCUUGAGACCAUUCCAGAAAGGAAUCCGCCCAACGCUGCAGCUUCCAGGCAGAAGUUCAGGAAAUUCUGCUCUGAGGACACAGCUGGGCCCAGGGAGGUCCUCAGACAUCUCUAGGAGUUUGCUAGACAGUGGCUGAGACCUGAUAUUCACACAAAGGAGAUGUGGAGAUACUGGUACAAGAGCAGUUCCAGGCCAUCCUGCCUAGGAUCUCCGAGCACAGGCCCAGAGAGGUCAGCCUGGAGUCAGAAUCACUAGCUAAGGCCUGUCACUGGGUUCUUGCUCAGCCUACAUGUGAGAAGUCACCAAAGGUUCUCUUUGUUGGUCCAAGAUCCAACUGCACUCAUGGGGAAAUAUGAACCUUGGUUUUUUUGAGCUUGCCUUUGACUAGUUGUAAUAAGAAUCCAUCAAAACCCAUGUCUG
This 627-nucleotide long non-coding RNA is filed under the name Lynx pardinus (Iberian lynx). Lineage: Eukaryota; Metazoa; Chordata; Mammalia; Carnivora; Felidae. The record is from RNAcentral.